ACUCGACCAGCAGAUACGUACCAAGAUAUUUUUAGCCGUGAAAAUCCGCCCGGCAGUUGCCUGGCUGCCUGCGGUGUAGCCCAGUGAAAAUGAGACGCUCGUUUCAGAAUCCAGGAAUGCUGUACAAGUCUCAUCCGGUGAUCAACAUCCAGAAAGAAUUAAGCGGAGAUGACAAAGGAAAAUGAAAGCUACAGAAGCAGAAGACAAAAGUAUACAAAUAUGACUGAGAUAUUAUUUAUUUGUAAGUUGACAAUGAAGGACAGCAACGUUGAACAUGCUCUGAGCAUUAACUACAACAGUUUUGUUUCCAAUAGGCACUCUGAUGUCAAUUUAUAAUAACUUGGUCCAAUUAUCAGUACAAUGAAAAUUCUAGUCAAAUAAGAUUUUAAAAUAUUAUAUUGAUUCCUGGGU
Molecule: long non-coding RNA, 411 nt
Organism: Thamnophis elegans (Western terrestrial garter snake)
Lineage: Eukaryota; Metazoa; Chordata; Lepidosauria; Squamata; Natricidae
Exons: 3
Source: RefSeq, a predicted model, not a curated record